GACGGAAGGUGCAAGCGUUAUUCGGAAUCACUGGGCUUACAGGGUGCGUAGGCGGCUUAGCAAGUCAGGUGUGAAAGCCCCCGGCUCAACCGGGGAACUGCGCUUGAAACUGCUGAGCUCGAGUCAGCUAGAGGUACACGGAACUUCCAGUGGAGCGGUGAAAUGUGUUGAUAUUGGAAGGAACACCGGAGGCGAAAGCGGUGUACUGGGGCUGGUCUGACGCUGAGGCACGAAAGCCAGGGGAGCGAACGGG
RNAcentral lists this ribosomal RNA (253 nucleotides) under uncultured bacterium. RNAcentral describes it as "partial 16S ribosomal RNA". It matches the Rfam family "Bacterial small subunit ribosomal RNA", at positions 524 to 776 of the family's 1533-position model. The record is from RNAcentral.